Molecule: long non-coding RNA, 856 nt
Organism: Zonotrichia albicollis (white-throated sparrow)
Lineage: Eukaryota; Metazoa; Chordata; Aves; Passeriformes; Passerellidae
Source: RefSeq, a predicted model, not a curated record
GGCAUUGCCUGCCUUGCCUGUUCAGCAAAUUGAUCACCAGGUCUACUAUCCCAAUGUCAUUUCCCUUCCUCGAAGCUGAGAUGCCUCACUGGAAUUAACCCUUUGCAAUAUUGGCUGUAUGAUCUGCUGCCUCGCAAUAUGCAACUCUUCCAGCGCAUGGUUACAGGCCUAAAGAACUAAGAGCUUCAAAACUGUUUCCUGCCAUAUAAAUCUACAUGUUGGAGGAGGGCAUGCUGCUGGUGAAGAGAGAUGAAGAGAGAACCGCUCCAGGCACAGGUUUCCCAGGCGUGCACCUCAAGGUUUGUGUUUUGCCUGUCCCAAAGCACAUCCUCAUUUGCCACAAGGAUGGAAAAGGGUCAGGGGUAGAUCUUAACCUCUGCCUCUACAAUCCGUGGUUUCAAGAGAUACAUUUGAAAUAACACAAACUUCUCCAAAAGCACCCAAGAAGUGAGGAAAUACAAGCUGUAAAGCAGUAGUCAUAAAAGGCAGCAUAUGUGGUUUAACUGAAUUUGUCUGGAGUUCAAUUAAGCAAUAAGACACGAUGGGGUGUGUCCUAUCACUGGGCCAUCAAUGCAAGUCCCUGGGGCACUGUGAGGCACAGAGCCAAAGUGCAGAGUGCAUUAACAGCCCGGUAAUACAUGCUUUGUCAUGUCCCAUGGUUCCCAGAGGAUAAUGCUUGUCUUUUGAAAUGAAAGAACAAGAAGAGGUCCUUCAAAAAUUUGGGAACCAAGAUCAACUUUUCAUAUGAGAGUUUAAGAAUGGAAGACAUAGAUUUGGAGAUGUGGGAUUGAAGACUGUUGGCUGCCUGGAGCUUCUUGUUACACUUCAGACAUCUCUCUGAUGGCCAUGUAGGGAU